AAGAUGUAAUAAAAGACUUCUAAUCUUUACGAAGUGUUUACACUACAUCUUA
This 52-nucleotide transfer RNA is filed under the name Pseudoniphargus unisexualis. Its description in RNAcentral is "tRNA-Ser". The record is from RNAcentral. Lineage: Eukaryota; Metazoa; Arthropoda; Malacostraca; Amphipoda; Allocrangonyctidae.